GUAUCUGACUCAGGAGUCCGUGGGUAUGACUUGCUGGACUUUUGCCAUGUCAGAAGACCCCAAGGACCCUCCAAUUUAAGAAUCACCAGUAUGGCUAUCAUUGUCAUUAUAACCAGAAGCCCAGAGUGUCCACCUCUCCACCCUGGAAGAUAGAUAUACCUUGGAAGAUACACCUUGGCCAGUGACAGGGCCUGGGGAUGAUACACCAGGAGAGAGUAUAUACCUAUAUCAGAGCCCUGAUCUGCUGCAGUCCUAUCACCCACGUAGAGAAGAUACACCUCACUCUGAGGCCCUGAAGAUGAGGCUGGUUCAGAACAGGGGGCGCCUUGAAGGCACCAGGGCAGCUGCCCAACAGGCUGGAUGUAAAAUGUCCCCGGCUCCAUGGAAUAAUCCAGGCAAUUGUGCCUCAGGCCUGGGAGGCAGAAAAGCCAGCAGCAGUUCCAUGCCAGGUGGAAGACAGCCUAUAUCUGAUGCCCUCAGGUUGGCCAUCAGCACAGACUCCUCCUUGGAGAUGGCCCUCUGUGUCAUGGGGAUGGACUGGCACCUGCCUGAGGCUAAGGCUGCUCACAGCCACCCCCUGCUCAAGAUUAUAGGCUAACUAGAGAUGGCUUGGGAGCCUUGGGGACCAGGAACAAGGGCACUACGGAGCUCCUCCCAGACAUCUCUUGCUGCUGCCACUGGUUGGGUGACUCAAGCCUGCCUCCCUCAAGGGGUGUUGCAAUGUUCAAAUGAGAUCAUGUAGAUGAAGAUGAAGCCCUUCAGGAACUGUCAAGCUCUCCACAGACGGAGCAUGUGCUUAGCCCCUCCUGCAGUAAGACCCAACCCUCUAGCCAAGAGCCUGACCAGCAUUGCUUGCCGAUGACACAAGGAAGAGGGCUGCGGUGGAGCCUCGGAAUGUUCCCUGCUGGCAGCGGGGGAUCUCCUGUGCAGUUUGGGGGCAGGGCCUCUUCUCUCCUUCCCUGCGUCAUCUCACUUCGCUGCCCUCCUGGGACUGCAUGGAGCGGGUGUCAGUGCUGCCUUUACUGGGCACGAAGUCACUUUCACUACCUUGAGGCCAGGUUUUCCAACCCGUACUUCCCCAUCCUCCACUCCCUUCUGACAUCCGUUUCGUCCUCCUUUUCUGAAUUACCCCAGAGGAUAGGGGAGGAGGAAGGUAAGUGUAGGGGAGGGAAGAGUGCUAGGCAGGUCCAGCGCCAGCCAGACACGCUGGAGGAAUCAGCCAGGCCCGUGAGGGGGCGCCCGUGGGUGGCUGAAGUUUGUUUCUCCACCGAAGCAGACGCCGGUGGCUUGUGGCUUCCCCCGUCUGGAGACGGCCCGCUGCACCAUCUGUGUUCUUUCCCCACCACAGUCACAGAUGCACCCACGGGCCUGGAACAGCCUGGCUGCCGGAGAAACAGAAUCUCUACCUUGUUCCUCUUCGUGGGGAAAUACAAAAGCCGUCCGUCUGUAAAGAAAAGAAGAGCCAGGCCGUCUUUCCAAUCAGGCCAGAGGGGGUGUUUCUGA
Molecule: long non-coding RNA, 1503 nt
Filed under: Callithrix jacchus (white-tufted-ear marmoset)
Lineage: Eukaryota; Metazoa; Chordata; Mammalia; Primates; Cebidae
Description: lncRNA (ENSCJAG00000082274.1)
Source: RNAcentral